Molecule: non-coding RNA, 58 nt
Organism: Salmo salar (Atlantic salmon)
Lineage: Eukaryota; Metazoa; Chordata; Actinopteri; Salmoniformes; Salmonidae
Source: Rfam
UGGCUCAGUUGGUAGAGCAUGGUGUUUGCUAUGCUAGGGUUGUGGGUUCGAUUCCCAC